UAAAAUCAGUGUUCCAGAAAAUGUGCCACGUUCCUCCGCUGGCUUCUUUCAGGAUAAUUCUCCUGCAUCCUACAUAGACUAAGCUUGUCUCCUCUUCUUUACCAAGUACUCUCUGAGCAGCCAUUCUUCCAUGUCCAGGUACAAUCGAAGGGAUAUGAGCAGCAAGGAAAACUUGUAAUGACGUUAAGCUUUGACUCCAGAACUCACUAGGAAAAUGAUGGAAUCUCCAGUCCCUCAAAGUUUUUAAAAUUAUUCUCAGGCUGACAUGUGCUGUCAUCUCAGCUGGACCAAGUUCCCCUGUCUAAGAAGUGCCUGUCCCACUGUGGUGUUUAUUUCUGCUGUACAGAUGCUGGUCUUUUCUCUUUCAUGAGGUUGUCAAGUUUUUAAGAUUCAAAUUUUUCAGAUUUCUGCUUUUCAAAUUAUGGUUGCAAGGAUGUCAGCUUGGAGAUUCAAAUCUGUCUAAUGACCUUCUGUAAGGACCUUCUUCUUCUCCGGCACAAGGAAUUUCAUGAUAUUACCUUAAUGGUGAGAGAAUAGACAGAAAGACAAUGAGAAACAAAAAUAGCCAUCACUUCAAUAUUUUUGAAUAUUAUGUUAAUUCACAAUGUUAAUUGAAUUCUGAUUCCAAUAUACUCUUGCU
This is a non-coding RNA of Equus caballus (horse), 640 nucleotides long. The record is from RefSeq and is a predicted model, not a curated record. NCBI's taxonomy places the organism in Eukaryota, Metazoa, Chordata, Mammalia, Perissodactyla, Equidae.